UAACACAUGCAAGUCGAACGAACCUUCGGGUUAGUGGCGGACGGGCGAGUAACGCGUGGGAAUCUGCCCUCAGGAGGGGGAUAACGGUUGGAAACGACCGCUAAUACCCCAUAUGCCGAGAGGUGAAAUGAAUUUCGCCUGAGGAUGAGCCCGCGUCUGAUUAGCUAGUUGGUGUGGUAAUGGCUCACCAAGGCUUCGAUCAGUAGCCGGUCUGAGAGGAUGAUCAGCCACACUGGGACUGAGACACGGCCCAGACUCCUACGGGAGGCAGCAGUGGGGAAUUUUCCGCAAUGGGCGAAAGCCUGACGGAGCAACGCCGCGUGAGGGAUGAAGGCCUCUGGGCUGUAAACCUCUUUUCUCAAGGAAGAAGAUCUGACGGUACUUGAGGAAUAAGCCACGGCUAAUUCCGUGCCAGCAGCCGCGGUAAUACGGGAGUGGCAAGCGUUAUCCGGAAUUAUUGGGCGUAAAGCGUCCGCAGGCGGCCUUUCAAGUCUGCUGUUAAAAAGUGGAGCUUAACUCCAUCAUGGCAGUGGAAACUGUUGGGCUUGAGUGUGGUAGGGGCAGAGGGAAUUCCCGGUGUAGCGGUGAAAUGCGUAGAUAUCGGGAAGAACACCAGUGGCGAAGGCGCUCUGCUGGGCCAUAACUGACGCUCAUGGACGAAAGCCAGGGGAGCGAAAGGGAUUAGAUACCCCUGUAGUCCUGGCCGUAAACGAUGAACACUAGGUGUCGGGGGAAUCGACCACUUCGGUGUCGUAGCCAACGCGUUAAGUGUUCCGCCUGGGGAGUACGCACGCAAGCGUGAAACUCAAAGGAUUGACGGGGGCCCGCACAAGCGGUGGAGUAUGUGGUUUAAUUCGAUGCAACGCGAAGAACCUUACCAGGGCUUGACAUCCUUGGAACUUUCUAGAGAUAGAUUGGUGCCUUCCGGGAGCCAAGUGACAGGUGCUUGCAUGGCUGUCGUCAGCUCGUGGUCGUGGAGAUUGUUGGGUUUAAGUCCCGUAACCGAGCGCAACCCUUGUCCUUAGUUGCCAGCACUUCGGGUUGGAACUUCUAGGGAAGACUGCCGGUGACAAACCCGGGAGAAAGGUGGG
RNAcentral lists this ribosomal RNA (1091 nucleotides) under uncultured Prochlorococcus sp. Its description in RNAcentral is "bacterial SSU rRNA". It matches the Rfam family "Bacterial small subunit ribosomal RNA", at positions 49 to 1177 of the family's 1533-position model. The record is from RNAcentral. Lineage: Bacteria; Bacillati; Cyanobacteriota; Cyanophyceae; Synechococcales; Prochlorococcaceae.